RNAcentral lists this ribosomal RNA (1984 nucleotides) under Tsukubamonas globosa. Its description in RNAcentral is "bacterial SSU rRNA". It matches the Rfam family "Eukaryotic small subunit ribosomal RNA". Lineage: Eukaryota; Tsukubea; Tsukubamonadida; Tsukubamonadidae. The record is from RNAcentral.
UAGUCAUAUGCUUGUCUCAAAGAUUAAGCCAUGCAUGUCUCAGAAUAAACCACUUACAAUGGGUGAAUCUGCGCACGGCUCAUUAUAUCAGGGGUAAUUGAUUCGAUACUGUUCACUUUAACGGUACCUCGUGUGCCAACCAAACGGAUAACCGCGGUAACCCCGUGGCUAAUACGUGCGGAAAAGGGCUUUAAACGGCUCGUUGUUUGCUGGCGAAAGAUCUGUGCUCUGGCUGUCGGGCAACCGGUGGCUAAGGGCGUGGUGAAUCACGGUAACUGGACCUAUCGCAGACGGCCUUAGUGUCGGGCGAUUUAUCGAUUCAACCCUUGUCCUAUCAGCUUUUGAUGGUACGUUCGUGGCCUACCAUGGCUACAACGGGUAACGGGGAAUCAGGGUUCGAUUCCGGAGAGGGAGCCUGAGAGACGGCUGCCACAUCCAAGGAAGGCAGCAGGCGCGCAAAUUACCCAAUUUUAACACAAAGAGGUAGUGACAAGAAAUAGCGGCCGGGGAUGCCUUACGGUGUUCCUGGAUCUGCAAUGGGAAUAGUUUAAACACCUUAUCGAGUAUCGAUUGGAGGACAAGUCUGGUGCCAGCACCCGCGGUAAUUCCAGCUCCAAUAGCGUAUAUUAAAGUUGCUGCGGUUAAAAAGCUCGUAGCCCGUUUGAAACGCGAUGGUUGUUUAGGGGCUGGUCUGCGUGCCGAGGGUCAAACUUCGGUGCGAUUGGGCUGGUCUCGCUUCUGUCGCCCGCUUUUACGGCGGUUGGUCGUUUCGGUCCUGCGUUGUUCAUUCGGCGUGGGGGUAACCCGAUCGAUCAGUUACCUUGAAUAAAUCGAUAUGCUCAGAAUAAGCGGCCUUCACUGGCGUCUGCUUGAACGUUUUAGCAUGGAAUAACGCAUAUGUAAAUCGAUGGUCGAUUAGCGCUUUUAGCAGGUCUUGGGCGCAUGAUUGACUGCAACCCGAUAGGGCUGACCGGGGCUCCUCGUAUCUCGUGGGGAGAGGUGAAAUUUCAGGAUCCACGGGGGACGACCAGAGGCGAAAGCAGGGAGCAAGGGCAUGCCCGUUGGUCAAGAACGAAAGUUAGGGGAUCGAAGAUGAUUAGAUACCGUCGUAGUCCUGACCGUAAACAAUACCGACUCAGUGGCGCGUGAGGCUCAGGUUCUGACGCCCGCGCCGCUGUAUGGAAACUAAAGUCUUCGGGUUCCGGGGGGAGUAUAGUCGCAAGACCGGAACUUAAAGGAAUUGACGGAAGGGCACCACCACGGAGUGGAGCUUGCGGCUCAAUUUGACUCAACACGGGAAAUCUCACGAGGGCCAGACAUUGCAAGGAUUGACAGAUUGAUAGCUCUUUCUUGAUUCGAUGGAUGGUGGUGCAUGGCCGUUCUUAGUUGGUGGGGUGACUUGUCUGGUUAAUUCCGAUAACGAACGAGAUCUUGGCCUACUAAAUAGACUUGCUUCCGCUGGCAUUUGGUUUCGGCCGAGUGUCGGGAGGUAAAGAUGCUUUACGCAUACCGUGGCUGGUUUACCGGUCGCGGUCGCUUCUUAGAGGGACUGUGGGUGAUUAACCCAAGGAAGCUCAAGGCAAUAACAGGUCUGUGAUGCCCUUCGAUGUCCUCGGCUGCACGCGCGCUACAAUGAUUGGCGCAGCGGGUAUUAACUUAUGACCUGGUUCGAAAGGACUGGGGAAUCCUAUAAUCCCAAUCGUGAUGGGGAUCGAUGAUUGCAAUUAUUCGUCUUGAACGAGGAAUUCCUCGUAAGCGCUGAGUCAUCAACUCGCGCUGAUUACGUCCCUGCCCUUUGUACACACCGCCCGUCGCUCCUACCGAUUGGAUAUCUAGGUGAAGCCUUAGGACGGCUUUGCGCUGGCUGGGGCAACCCGGUUUGGUGUAAGGCUGAAAUUCGGAUGAACCUCGCUAUCUAGAGGAAGGAGAAGUCGUAACAAGGUAUCCGUAGGGAACCUGCAGAAUCCGCGGCCUGCGCGGAGCU